Molecule: transfer RNA, 72 nt
Filed under: Sphaerodactylus townsendi
Lineage: Eukaryota; Metazoa; Chordata; Lepidosauria; Squamata; Sphaerodactylidae
Description: tRNA-Thr
Rfam family: tRNA
About the family: Transfer RNA (tRNA) molecules are approximately 80 nucleotides in length.
Source: RNAcentral
GGGGCUGUGGCUCAGUGGGAGAGCAUCUGCCUGGUGUGCAGAAGUUCCCAAGUUCAAUCCUGGGCAUCUUCA